RNAcentral lists this ribosomal RNA (494 nucleotides) under uncultured bacterium. Its description in RNAcentral is "partial 16S ribosomal RNA". It matches the Rfam family "Bacterial small subunit ribosomal RNA", at positions 28 to 504 of the family's 1533-position model. The record is from RNAcentral.
GAUGAACGCUGGCGGCGUGCCUAAUACAUGCAAGUCGAGCGAACGGACGAGAAGCUUGCUUCUCUGAUGUUAGCGGCGGACGGGUGAGUAACACGUGGAUAACCUACCUAUAAGACUGGGAUAACUUCGGGAAACCGGAGCUAAUACCGGAUAAUAUUUUGAACCGCAUGGUUCAAAAGUGAAAGACGGUCUUGCUGUCACUUAUAGAUGGAUCCGCGCUGCAUUAGCUAGUUGGUAAGGUAACGGCUUACCAAGGCAACGAUGCAUAGCCGACCUGAGAGGGUGAUCGGCCACACUGGAACUGAGACACGGUCCAGACUCCUACGGGGGGCAGCAGUAGGGAAUCUUCCGCAAUGGGCGAAAGCCUGACGGAGCAACGCCGCGUGAGUGAUGAAGGUCUUCGGAUCGUAAAACUCUGUUAUUAGGGAAGAACAUAUGUGUAAGUAACUGUGCACAUCUUGACGGUACCUAAUCAGAGAGCCACGGCUAACUAC